This 529-nucleotide long non-coding RNA is filed under the name Pongo abelii (Sumatran orangutan). RNAcentral describes it as "lincRNA". Lineage: Eukaryota; Metazoa; Chordata; Mammalia; Primates; Hominidae. The record is from RNAcentral.
UAAGGGGUCUGUUGCGCCACAGGGGUCUCCAGGGCCCUCGCGGGUUGGGGUGGUCUGAGCUAGUCUGAAGGAGGACAGUCAGCUGACUUCUCCUUUAUCUCUCUUUCCCAGGAUAGCAGGUUCCCUUGGUGUAUUACAGUCUCUGAAGUGUUGAUUCCCUUUUCAAUUGAUUCCACAGAUGACAGUCCUGACGUUUAAAAAAUUGCCAGAUACCUUUAAUUUUUUUUUUUUUUUUUUAACAGAACACAAACUUAAGCCAGAUUGCCUAGGAUUGAACCUUGGCCUCUCACUUCCUAGCCGAGUGGCCUUGGCUAGUUAACCACCUUCGUGAGCCUCAGUUUUCUCAUCUGUAAAAUGGGAGUUCUAAGUGUCUACCUCACAGAGCUGUGAUUGAAAGGAUAAAUAGCACCUGGCACAUAGCGGUGUAGAAGUGCUUAUUAUUGUUAAUAUUUUAUUUACCUUCACGCAGCUCACAGUGGCGGAAGUGGACUAAGACAUCAUGUUGCCUCAAGUUUAAUUGGAAAUCGUG